CCUACGGGUGGCAGCAGUGGGGAAUAUUGGACAAUGGGGGGAACCCUGAUCCAGCCAUGCCGCGUGUGUGAAGAAGGCCCUCGGGUUGUAAAGCACUUUCAGUGAGGAAGAACGCCUGGUGGUUAAUACCCAUCAGGAAAGACAUCACUCACAGAAGAAGCACCGGCUAACUCCGUGCCAGCAGCCGCGGUAAUACGGAGGGUGCGAGCGUUAAUCGGAAUUACUGGGCGUAAAGCGCGCGUAGGUGGCUUGAUAAGCCGGUUGUGAAAGCCCCGGGCUCAACCUGGGAACGGCAUCCGGAACUGUCAAGCUAGAGGGCAGGAGAGGAAGGUAGAAUUCCCGGUGGAGCGGUGAAAUGCGGAGAGAUCGGGAGGAAUACCAGUGGCGAAGGCGGCCUUCUGGACUGACACUGACACUGAGGUGCGAAAGCGUGGGUAGCCAACAGGAUUAGAUACCCCUGUAGUC
This 465-nucleotide ribosomal RNA is filed under the name Vreelandella stevensii. Its description in RNAcentral is "partial 16S ribosomal RNA". It matches the Rfam family "Bacterial small subunit ribosomal RNA", at positions 338 to 795 of the family's 1533-position model. The record is from RNAcentral. Lineage: Bacteria; Pseudomonadati; Pseudomonadota; Gammaproteobacteria; Oceanospirillales; Halomonadaceae.